GCGAGUGAAGCGGCAACAGCUCAAAUUUGAAAGCUGGCUUAGGCCCGCAUUGUAAUUUGCAGAGGAUGUUUCUGGCGAGGUGCCUUCCGAGUUCCCUGGAACGGGACGCCAUAGAGGGUGAGAGCCCCGUAUGGAUGGACACCAAACCUAUGUGAAACUCCUUCAACGAGUCGAGUAGUUUGGGAAUGCUGCUCUAAAUGGGAGGUAAAUCUCUUCUAAAGCUAAAUACCGGCCAGAGACCGAUAGCGCACAAGUAGAGUGAUCGAAAGAUGAAAAGCACCUUGAAAAGGGGGUUAAACAGUACGUGAAAUUGUUGAAAGGGAAGCGCUUGUGACCAGACUUGCGCCGGGCAGCUCAUCAGGGGUUCUCCCCUGUGCACUCUGCCCGGCUCAGGCCAGCAUCGGUUCUUGUGGGAGGAUAAGAACGGUAGGAACGUGGCCCCCCUCCGGGGGGGUGUUAUAGCCUGCCGUACGAUACUCCCGUGGGGACCGAGGUUCGCGCUCCGCAAGGAUGCUGGC
Molecule: ribosomal RNA, 518 nt
Filed under: Cytospora sophorae
Lineage: Eukaryota; Fungi; Ascomycota; Sordariomycetes; Diaporthales; Cytosporaceae
Description: eukaryotic LSU rRNA
Rfam family: Eukaryotic large subunit ribosomal RNA
Source: RNAcentral